RNAcentral lists this ribosomal RNA (484 nucleotides) under uncultured bacterium. Its description in RNAcentral is "partial 16S ribosomal RNA". It matches the Rfam family "Bacterial small subunit ribosomal RNA", at positions 30 to 507 of the family's 1533-position model. The record is from RNAcentral.
AUUGAACGCUGGCGGCAGGCCUAACACAUGCAAGUCGAGCGGAUGAAGGGAGCUUGCUCCUGGAUUCAGCGGCGGACGGGUGAGUAAUGCCUAGGAAUCUGCCUGGUAGUGGGGGAUAACGUCCGGAAACGGGCGCUAAUACCGCAUACGUCCUGAGGGAGAAAGUGGGGGAUCUUCGGACCUCACGCUAUCAGAUGAGCCUAGGUCGGAUUAGCUAGUUGGUGGGGUAAAGGCCUACCAAGGCGACGAUCCGUAACUGGUCUGAGAGGAUGAUCAGUCACACUGGAACUGAGACACGGUCCAGACUCCUACGGUAGGCAGCAGUGGGGAAUAUUGGACGAUGGGCGAGAGCCUGAUCCAGCCAUGCCGCGUGUGUGAAGAAGGUCUUCGGAUUGUAAAGCACUUUAAGUUGUGAGGAAGGGCAGUAAGUUAAUACCUUGCUGUUUUGACGUUACCAACAGAAUAAGCUCCGGCUAACUUCGUG